This 475-nucleotide ribosomal RNA is filed under the name Clostridium sp. enrichment culture. RNAcentral describes it as "bacterial SSU rRNA". It matches the Rfam family "Bacterial small subunit ribosomal RNA", at positions 215 to 683 of the family's 1533-position model. The record is from RNAcentral. Lineage: Bacteria; Bacillati; Bacillota; Clostridia; Eubacteriales; Clostridiaceae.
CUGGAUAAGGAUGGACUUAUGUCGCGUUAGCUAGUUGGUAAGGUAACGGCUUACCAAGGCGACGAUGCGUAGCCGGCCUGAGAGGGUGAACGGCCACAUUGGGACUGAGACACGGCCCAAACUCCUACGGGAGGCAGCAGUAGGGAAUUUUCGGCAAUGGGGGAAACCCUGACCGAGCAACGCCGCGUGAAGGAAGAAGGAAUUCGUUUCGUAAACUUCUGUUAUAAAGGAAGAAAGAUGAUAUCAGGAAAUGGAUGUCAAGUGACGGUACUUUAUGAGAAAGCCACGGCUAACUACGUGCCAGCAGCCGCGGUAAUACGUAGGUGGCAAGCGUUAUCCGGAAUUAUUGGGCGUAAAGAGGGAGCAGGCGGUAACAAAGGUCUGUGGUGAAAGCCUGAAGCUUAACUUCAGUAAGCCAUAGAAACCAGGUAACUAGAGUGCAAGAGAGGAUCGUGGAAUUCCAUGUGUAGCGGUG